UACGAAGGGGGCUAGCGUUGUUCGGAUUUACUGGGCGUAAAGCGCACGUAGGCGGAUCGUUAAGUCGGGGGUGAAAUCCUGGAGCUCAACUCCAGAACUGCCUUCGAUACUGGCGAUCUCGAGUCCGGGAGAGGUGAGUGGAACUGCGAGUGUAGAGGUGAAAUUCGUAGAUAUUCGCAAGAACACCAGUGGCGAAGGCGGCUCACUGGCCCGGUACUGACGCUGAGGUGCGAAAGCGUGGGGAGCAAACAGG
This 253-nucleotide ribosomal RNA is filed under the name uncultured bacterium. RNAcentral's name for it is "partial 16S ribosomal RNA". It matches the Rfam family "Bacterial small subunit ribosomal RNA", at positions 524 to 776 of the family's 1533-position model. The record is from RNAcentral.